Molecule: ribosomal RNA, 434 nt
Filed under: uncultured bacterium
Lineage: Bacteria
Description: bacterial SSU rRNA
Rfam family: Bacterial small subunit ribosomal RNA
Source: RNAcentral
AACGCGAAGAACCUUACCAGGUCUUGACAUCCCUCUGACCGGUCCGUAACGGGACCUUCCCUUCGGGGCAGAGGAGACAGGUGGUGCAUGGUUGUCGUCAGCUCGUGUCGUGAGAUGUUGGGUUAAGUCCCGCAACGAGCGCAACCCCUAUCCUUAGUAGCCAGCAGUUCGGCUGGGCACUCUAGGGAGACUGCCAGGGAUAACCUGGAGGAAGGCGGGGAUGACGUCAAAUCAUCAUGCCCCUUAUGAUCUGGGCUACACACGUGCUACAAUGGUGGCUACAAAGAGAAGCAACCUCGCGAGAGUAAGCAAAUCUCAAAAAGGCCAUCCCAGUUCGGAUUGUAGUCUGCAACUCGACUACAUGAAGCUGGAAUCGCUAGUAAUCGCGAAUCAGAAUGUCGCGGUGAAUACGUUCCCGGGUCUUGUACACACGC